AUGGCAAUAAAUCUUUUCUUUCUGUCUGAGACUCUGAGCCCAGUCUCCGAGGACUCAGCUGCUCAGCCUGCUGCGGCUGUAGCUUGUCUGAGACAUUUUGGGGAAACACUGCCAAUUCAGUGCCAUUUAUCUCCCUCCUUUCUGGGAGCUGUAGAAGGUGUUGCUUAUUACUUCACAGUAUAUGUCAGUUGGAGUGACAGCCUCAUAAGACCAGGAGGAUACCUCUUGUGUAUCACCUCUGUUUGUGACCAUUGUUUCUCAUUGUGGGAUAUACAGCUUCAUUUCUGUGAAGAUUCAAUCUCACAUACCACAGAGGACACAGACCUUGGUCCCCUUGGAGCACCAGCAGGACAAGAAAGAGAUUGUUGGCCUAUAUCGACUGUAAGUGCAGUGUUGGAUGACUAUCUCAGAUGUGGACGCCUCUAAGGUCAAUAUUAUCAUCUGGUCAGAUGAGUUCCUUCCUCUCAUGAACAAAUAAAAUAGCACUCAUUUAAAUUUCCUUAUUCA
This 507-nucleotide long non-coding RNA is filed under the name Anser cygnoides (Swan goose). Its description in RNAcentral is "lncRNA (ENSACDG00005018499.1)". Lineage: Eukaryota; Metazoa; Chordata; Aves; Anseriformes; Anatidae. The record is from RNAcentral.